AUCUAAUAACCGCCGGGUUUACGUCUUAUCCCCAUUUCGUUAGGCCAUGGAAGGAGUGGAGGACAAGGCGCUUUAUUU
RNAcentral lists this non-coding RNA (78 nucleotides) under unclassified sequences. The record is from RNAcentral.